This 333-nucleotide ribosomal RNA is filed under the name uncultured bacterium. RNAcentral's name for it is "bacterial SSU rRNA". It matches the Rfam family "Bacterial small subunit ribosomal RNA", at positions 568 to 898 of the family's 1533-position model. The record is from RNAcentral.
CGCGUAGGCGGAUGUUACAGUCAGGCGUGAAAUUCCUGGGCUCAACCUGGGGGCUGCGUUUGAUACGUGAUGUCUGGAGUUCGGAAGAGGGUCGUGGAAUUCCCAGUGUAGAGGUGAAAUUCGUAGAUAUUGGGAAGAACACCGGUGGGGCGAAGGCGGCGACCUGGUCCGAUACUGACGCUGAGGCGCGAAAGCGUGAGGAGCAAACAGGAUUAGAUACCCUGGUAGUCCACGCUGUAAACGAUGUGCGCUGGAUGUUGGGUGACAUAGUCAUUCAGUGUCGUAGCUAACGCGAUAAGCGCACCGCCUGGGGAGUACGGCCGCAAGGUUGAA